AUGAACGCUGGCGGCGUGCCUCAUACAUGCAAGUCGAGCGAACAGAUGAGGAGCUUGCUCCUCUGACGUUAGCGGCGGACGGGUGAGUAACACGUGGAUAACCUACCUAUAAGACUGGGAUAACUUCGGGAAACCGGAGCUAAUACCGGAUAAUAUAUUGAACCGCAUGGUUCAAUAGUGAAAGACGGUUUUGCUGUCACUUAUAGAUGGAUCCGCGCCGCAUUAGCUAGUUGGUAAGGUAACGGCUUACCAAGGCAACGAUGCGUAGCCGACCUGAGAGGGUGAUCGGCCACACUGGAACUGAGACACGGUCCAGACUCCUACGGGAGGCAGCAGUAGGGAAUCUUCCGCAAUGGGCGAAAGCUUGACGGAGCAACGCCGCGUGAGUGAUGAAGGUCUUCGGAUCGUAAAACUCUGUUAUUAGGGAAGAACAAAUGUGUAAGUAACUAUGCACGUCUUGACGGUACCUAAUCAGAAAGCCACGGCUAACUACGUG
This 496-nucleotide ribosomal RNA is filed under the name uncultured bacterium. RNAcentral's name for it is "partial 16S ribosomal RNA". It matches the Rfam family "Bacterial small subunit ribosomal RNA", at positions 29 to 507 of the family's 1533-position model. The record is from RNAcentral.